Camelus ferus (Wild Bactrian camel) is the source of this 105-nucleotide non-coding RNA. Lineage: Eukaryota; Metazoa; Chordata; Mammalia; Artiodactyla; Camelidae. The record is from Rfam.
GCUGGCUUCGGCAGCAUGCACACUGAAACUGGGGCCACACAGGGAGGAUUAGCACGGCCCCUGCGCAGAGAUGACACGCAAAUUCACGAAGCAUUCCAUGUUUAG